AAGAAUUAAUUAUUUAAAUUGGAGAUUUGAAAUACAAUUGUGAUAUACUUGAAUUCCGUUGUUAGAAAUCAUAUAUAUCUCUGUGUGAACUCAUCUCCCCACAGAUAUGCUUACUGCAAAUCACCAUAUAAAGAAACAAAAAUGAAUAUAGGGUUUCCUCGUACGAGUGAAUAACCAAAUUUCAAUAGAAAUGAAAUGUUAAAGAGAAAUUAAUGCAAUUGCAAAGGAAUCACAAAAAGUUGGAAAAUAGUACAUCAGUUUCACUUUUGUUGAUAAAGUAUAUAUGCACACAGACGAGACUUUUGUUAAAGGCAAGGAGCGAGGGAGACACAAUUAGAAAUUGGGUAGCACAACACAUUAAUUUCAAGUACAAAGGUGACGAAGGGUGCUAACUCAACAAUCCAACCGUGUACAUUAUACAUUAAAACAACUUUAAGUUUUUUGUUCUAAACCUAAAGAAAAUAACUAUAAAAAAAUGUUUACUCAAGAUAGGUCUAAUUAAUAGGUCAUCGUAGGUAUUUAUGAUAGAUACUAAUUGGUAAUCUAGUGCAAAUGUAAAUUAACAUGUCAACAUAGAUUAAAUUACGUUAAAAGUGUAAGAAAUGUGUAUACAUUGUUGAUAUAUAUAAAUUAAAACAGUUUCAAAAUCACCAAGGCAACGAAGUGCGGAAGGACCACUAUUGACCCCUGAUGAGAGGGAUUGGGUAGCUACAUGUAGUUUAACAAUUUAAAAAAAGAAGAGGAUUAAGGUUUAUAGAAAACAUUUAAACUAUAAUAAAACAGAAGAACAACAUUUAGUCAAUGAUUAAUAUCAUUUUGCUACUAAAUAUAACAUAUAAAAUAAGCAAAACACUACAUUGUUCAUUCCAGUAAACAUCAAACAAGAAAUGGCAAUUGUAAUUAGCACCAGUGGAGACAUCCAGGCAUACUAAUACAAAGAUCAAAAUAGGAUAGAAAGGUCAUUAAACAAAUAUCAAAGUCAGAGAUAUCAAUGCUUCAUUAUUUCGAUCCAUUGAAUCUGAGUUCAGAUUAGUCAUACACAUUAGCUUUGACUUACUGAAACUUCAAGAAUACCCGAUAAGUUAAUAAGUCACACCAAUUAUUUUGUGCAUAUGCAUACAUAGUGAAGAACAUAAGUUUGCAGAUCUACUUCUUGUUGAUUAUAAUAAACAUGAGAUUAUUUACUGAUUUUGUAAUUUAAUUUAAUAGAGCUUCAAUCAAACAUGGGUUAGUGCAAGUCCUUUUCUUUUGUGCAUAUGUAUACGUUGCAAUUUUGUUUGCUUAAUCUCUUGUUCUCGUUCAAAUUGUUAGUGUUUCAUCACACUGUUUGUUAGAGUGAAUCAAAAUCGAUAAUUAAUUCACAAAAGAAGUAAAAAUAAAGAAAAAGAUUGUCACUAAGAGAAAUUAAUAAUCUAAGACAAAAUUUUACAUCAUCUAGGUUGAACUUUGAAAAAAUAAUAUACUACAACAUAGUAUUCCAUAACUUAUGUUACAUGUAAAUAGUGACAACAUAAAAAGGAGGAAAUGUUUAUAGGGCUACCUACAAUACAAGCAAAUAUGAUUAGGGAUUCAUAAAAAGGGUUGUUUUGGCAUCCUAUGUAGACAGUUGCAGAACACCAACACAUCAACAACAACAACAUACCCACUAUAGUCCCAAAAGGAUAGUCUAAAACGUGUAAACAUUCUGUUUUUCAAAGACCCCUCCAUAGAAGAGUAUAUCAACAUAAAAUUUCAUUCUCUAGUGACUUACAUCGGUAAAAAAAGGUUCAUUCCCCAGGGAAUCUAAAUCAUCAGGUGAACUAGAGUAUUUGUAAAACUUCCCACUAUUACAGUAAGCUAUAUAUCACAGCUACAAUGGCAUCAAAAUAAUACCAUGGCUGUUGUAUUAGAUUAUUUUUUACAAACUCGGAACUUGAGAUUAAAGCGAGCCAUGAUUUUGAAACAAACCUGAAUUACAACAAGGCCAUCAUAGAAGUACCUCCAUGUUGAUGUCUUCAGGAAGUUGUUUUCUCAUCUUUGAAGCUCUAGUUUCCACCACUGAAUUUGAGGUGGAUAUUGU
This 2059-nucleotide long non-coding RNA is filed under the name Solanum tuberosum (potato). RNAcentral describes it as "long non-coding RNA (STUB_LNC005717)". The record is from RNAcentral. Lineage: Eukaryota; Viridiplantae; Streptophyta; Magnoliopsida; Solanales; Solanaceae.